AAAUGGCGGUCGUGCAGCCUAAUUGUGAUUUGUUUGUUGUUUGACGCUCUUCGGCCGAUGGCAUUUGAUGUGUUGGAUAUUACAAAACAGCAGCCGAACAGUACACAUCUACGCGUAACAGUUUGUAAGUGAAAUUGGAGCUCUAUUAAAGCUGAAGUUGAGCAGAGAGAGAAGGAAUGAAGGCACUUGAGUUAUGCUGCAGGCAGGUAGAGAUUCCAUGGAGUGUUUUUCCAGACUUGUGGUUGGACAAGCAGCAAGAUUUGAAUCUUCAAACAGAAACAUGAAGCACCCUGCCGUUUCCUGGAACCUCAUCAAACCAGAGUCGAGACCCCAAUCCACCAUUAACUCACCAGGAAACCCAGCACGCCUCGUCCCACUUGGCCUUGAUCCUCCGCUUUGUAAAAAUGGCUGUUUGUCAUAAAAUGCAGAUUUGGCCCAAAUAUCCUGCAGCUUCCUGGAUCAGCCUCCAUUAAGACACCCUACCUGUGGCUCUAAAACGUAUGCAAUAUAGCAAACGAUAAGAAACCAGCUCACUUUUGCUCUUAAGCUUGCUUUUGAUCUUUCUUGUACUGUAUCCAAUUA
RNAcentral lists this long non-coding RNA (582 nucleotides) under Danio rerio (zebrafish). RNAcentral describes it as "lncRNA si:dkey-31n5.2 (ENSDARG00000096994.3)". The record is from RNAcentral. Lineage: Eukaryota; Metazoa; Chordata; Actinopteri; Cypriniformes; Danionidae.